Molecule: ribosomal RNA, 490 nt
Filed under: uncultured bacterium
Lineage: Bacteria
Description: partial 16S ribosomal RNA
Rfam family: Bacterial small subunit ribosomal RNA
Source: RNAcentral
AUUGAACGCUGGCGGCAGGCCUAACACAUGCCAGUCGAACGGUAACAGGAAACAGCUUGCUGUUUCGCUGACGAGUGGCGGACGGGUGAGUAAUGUCUGGGAAACUGCCUGAUGGAGGGGGAUAACUACUGGAAACGGUAGCUAAUACCGCAUAACGUCGCAAGACCAAAGAGGGGGACCCCCGGGCCUCUUGCCAUCGGAUGUGCCCAGAUGGGAUUAGCUUGUUGGUGGGGUAACGGCUCACCAAGGCGACGAUCCCUAGCUGGUCUGAGAGGAUGACCAGCCACACUGGAACUGAGACACGGUCCAGACUCCUACGGGAGGCAGCAGUGGGGAAUAUUGCACAAUGGGCGCAAGCCUGAUGCAGCCAUGCCGCGUGUAUGAAGAAGGCCUUCGGGUUGUAAAGUACUUUCAGCGGGGAGGAAGGGAGUAAAGUUAAUACCUUUGCUCAUUGACGUUACCCGCAGAAGAAGCACCGGCUAACUCCGUG